AUGGAAUAGUGAAAUAUCGCUGUGUUACCAUGUUUGUAUUACGGUCAGUCAGUUCCUCGCUAUCUGAGCAGCUGGAAAUAAUUCCGUUACCGGGUGAUCUUUCUAUUGGAAUUGGUGUCGUGAUAGAUGGUCUACGUUGAGAUGUGACGACUUUCCCAGGCUCAGCAAAGAUCUGUGACAUCUGUACCAUUUCAUGAAGCAAACGACGCUUGAGAAACGUGAAAAUUCUCCAUCCAAUUGGUUUCUAAAACUACUCAAAACUGGACUAUUUCCCAAUGUUGGCUUAACAAGGUGAAGUAUUUUGUCUUCUGUACAAAGGCUAUCAAAAUUGUAUGUUUUUAAACCAUUUUUUUUUUUCCUCCACCCCUACAGGGGCGGUGCCCCUGUAGGAGUGGAGGCCCCUCUCAUGCCUUGUACCGAUAGGUCGGGCAAGGCGCGAGAGGUUUGUUUUUUAGGUUGAAAAUUUAUCACUAUAUUUUUAGCAUUAACGUACCUUGACUUUAUACUUUGUUUUAGAGAAAUAAAGUAACGUAACGAUUAAGAAUUAUUUAUAAUUGCUGUUACCAGUGAAGACCUUAUGGCUUACUUUGCAAUGAGUUUUAUAUAAGUACAAUAGUUAACGUCAUCUUGUAAGUAUUUCUUGAGACUUUAGUAAAUGUAUUUAAACUUUUAAGAUCUCAAUUUCCUAAAUCAACAAGAAAUUGAGAUUUAUUAGAUAUAGUUGCUGUUAGUUUGAAAUCUUAAACUUUGCGAUACAUGUGCUGAUCAUGCAAUGAAUAGUACUUUUCUUUUCUUUAAUACAUUAGACAUACACUGUUUAAUACAAUCGGCGAGUGAUGCCAUAGCGUGCUAUGGUUUGAGGUAGUUUCUUUGGGUGGUCAUUCAAAUGUUAACGCCUUUUGGUGCCUCCCGUUCCUUGGUUUGUUUUCUUUAGUUUUGGUCAAAAGGUUUUUUGAGACGUUGGUUGGUUUAUACAUUAACAAAUUGGAGCUAAGCCUUCAGUUCAUUUAAGUAAAUAAAACCUGGUAUCUUACAGUUCAUUUAAGUAUAAUAAUUUUAUUUUUCUUAAUUUAUAAUAAGUACAAACUUUUCUGCCGUAGAUUUUUUCCUUUAGGUUGUCGACUGGAAUAGCCGAGACCCAGUUAUUCAAGUACUUUGGUGUUCGGUGCUUUUACAACACUAUUUAGAGGUGAAACAGGAGCUUGGCGUUGCUGAUAUACUACACUUGUGCCAAAAGUUUUCAUGCUUGGAUUAAAAUCUGUAA
Macrobrachium nipponense is the source of this 1264-nucleotide long non-coding RNA. RefSeq lists it as uncharacterized. The record is from RefSeq and is a predicted model, not a curated record. NCBI's taxonomy places the organism in Eukaryota, Metazoa, Arthropoda, Malacostraca, Decapoda, Palaemonidae. The transcript is spliced from 2 exons.